Molecule: ribosomal RNA, 498 nt
Filed under: uncultured bacterium
Lineage: Bacteria
Description: bacterial SSU rRNA
Rfam family: Bacterial small subunit ribosomal RNA
Source: RNAcentral
ACUCAAAGGAAUUGACGGGGGCCCGCACAAGCGGUGGAGCAUGUGGCUUAAUUCGAGGCAACGCGAAGAACCUUACCUGGGUUUGACAUCAGCCGGACGGGGUGUGAAAGCACUCUUUCCGCAAGGACUGGCUGACAGGUGCUGCAUGGCUGUCGUCAGCUCGUGUCGUGAGAUGUUCGGUUAAGUCCGGCAACGAGCGCAACCCGCAUUGUCAGUUGCCAGCAGGUCAAGCUGGGCACUCUGGCGAAACUGCCCGUGUUAAGCGGGAGGAAGGUGCGGAUGACGUCAAGUCAGUAUGGCCCUUACGCCCAGGGCUGCACACGUGCUACAAUGGGCGGUACAAUGGGAGGCAAGACCGCAAGGUGGAGCAAAUCCUAAAAACCGUCCUCAGUUCAGAUUGCAGUCUGCAACCCGACUGCAUGAAGCCGGAAUCGCUAGUAAAGGCGUAUCAGCUACGACGCCUUGAAUACGUUCCCGGGCCUUGCACACACCGCCCGU